Molecule: unclassified non-coding RNA, 395 nt
Filed under: soil metagenome
Description: partial contains 5.8S ribosomal RNA, internal transcribed spacer 2, and large subunit ribosomal RNA
Rfam family: 5.8S ribosomal RNA (bases 1-122)
Source: RNAcentral
GAUGAAGAACGCAGCGAAAUGCGAUACUUGGUGUGAAUUGCAGAAUCCCGUGAACCAUCGAGUCUUUGAACGCAAGUUGCGCCCGAAGCCAUCAGGUUGAGGGCACGUCUGCCCGGGCGUCACAUAUCGUUGCCCAAUGCCUAUUGCAGUGCAAUAGGAAUUUCUAGGGCGAAUGAUGGCUUCCCGUGAGCGUUGUUGCCUCGCGGUUGGUUGAAAAUCGAGUCCUUGGUAGGGUGUGCCAUGGUAGAUGGUGGUCGAGUUAGAACGAUACCGAUCAUGUGCAUGCUCCCCAAAAUAUGGCCUCUAUGACCCACACGCGUCUUUUGACGCUCAUGACGAGACCUCAGGUCAGGCGGGGCUACCCGCUGAAUUUAAGCAUAUCAAUAAGCGGAGGA